GCCGAAGUGGCGGAACAGGCAGACGCGCACGACUCAAAAUCGUGUUCCGAAAGGAGUGUGGGUUCGAUUCCCACCUUCGGCA
This 82-nucleotide transfer RNA is filed under the name Promineifilum breve (SeqCode). Its description in RNAcentral is "Candidatus Promineifilum breve tRNA". It matches the Rfam family "tRNA". From Rfam's summary of the family: Transfer RNA (tRNA) molecules are approximately 80 nucleotides in length. Their secondary structure includes four short double-helical elements and three loops (D, anti-codon, and T loops). RNAcentral also lists the same sequence under 4 other names. The record is from Rfam by way of RNAcentral. Lineage: Bacteria; Bacillati; Chloroflexota; Ardenticatenia; Promineifilales (SeqCode); Promineifilaceae (SeqCode).